RNAcentral lists this ribosomal RNA (286 nucleotides) under Ornithodoros coriaceus. RNAcentral describes it as "partial 16S ribosomal RNA". The stretch from base 139 to 286 matches the Rfam family "Bacterial large subunit ribosomal RNA", at positions 2473 to 2620 of the family's 2925-position model. The record is from RNAcentral. Lineage: Eukaryota; Metazoa; Arthropoda; Arachnida; Ixodida; Argasidae.
UAAUUUAUCUUUUAAUUAAGAUUAUUAGAAAUUUAUUUUUUAGUUAUGAUUGGGGUGAUUUUAAAACAUAAGUAAUCUUUAAAAUUUUUUAAUAAAAAAGUUCCAUUAGUAGUGAUUUUUUGAUAAAAAUACUCUAGGGAUAACAGCGUUAUUAUUUUGGAUAGUUCAUAUAGAUAAAAUAGUUUGCGACCUCGAUGUUGGAUUAGGAUUCUUUUAUGAUGAAGAAGUUAUAAGGGAGAAGUUUGCUCAACUUUUAAAGUCCUACUUGAUCUGAGUUCAGACCGGG